RNAcentral lists this ribosomal RNA (465 nucleotides) under uncultured bacterium. RNAcentral describes it as "partial 16S ribosomal RNA". It matches the Rfam family "Bacterial small subunit ribosomal RNA", at positions 29 to 507 of the family's 1533-position model. The record is from RNAcentral.
AUGAACGCUGGCGGCGUGCUUCACACAUGCCAGUCGCACGAUGAAGCCCAGCUUGCUGGGUGGAUUAGUGGCGAACGGGUGAGUAACACGUGAGUAACCUGCCCUUAACUCUGGGAUAAGCCUGGGAAACUGGGUCUAAUACCGGAUAGGAGCGUCCACCGCAUGGUGGGUGUUGGAAAGAUUUAUCGGUUUUGGAUGGACUCGCGGCCUAUCAGCUUGUUGGUGAGGUAAUGGCUCACCAAGGCGACGACGGGUAGCCGGCCUGAGAGGGUGACCGGCCACACUGGGACUGAGACACGGCCCAGACUCCUACGGGAGGCAGCAGUGGGGAAUAUUGCACAAUGGGCGCAAGCCUGAUGCAGCGACGCCGCGUGAGGGAUGACGGCCUUCGGGUUGUAAACCUCUUUCAGUAGGGAAGAAGCGAAAGUGACGGUACCUGCAGAAGAAGCACCGGCUAACUACGUG